RNAcentral lists this ribosomal RNA (331 nucleotides) under uncultured bacterium. RNAcentral's name for it is "bacterial SSU rRNA". It matches the Rfam family "Bacterial small subunit ribosomal RNA", at positions 568 to 899 of the family's 1533-position model. The record is from RNAcentral.
UGCGCAGGCGGUGGCUCAAGUCAGAUGUGAAAUCCCCAGGCUUAACCUGGGAAUUGCAUUUGAAACUAAGUCGCUAGAGUUUGGCAGAGGGGGGUGGAAUUCCACGUGUAGCAGUGAAAUGCGUAGAGAUGUGGAGGAACACCGAUGGCGAAGGCAGCCCCCUGGGCUAAAACUGACGCUCAUGCACGAAAGCGUGGGGAGCAAACAGGAUUAGAUACCCUGGUAGUCCACGCCCUAAACCAUGUCAACUAGUUGUCGGGAGAGCAAUCUCUUGGUAACGCAGCUAACGCGUGAAGUUGACCGCCUGGGGAGUACGGUCGCAAGAUUAAAA